GAUGAAGAACGUAGCGAAAUGCGAUAAGUAAUGUGAAUUGCAGAAUUCAGUGAAUCAUCGAAUCUUUGAACGCACAUUGCGCCCGGCAGUACUCUGCCGGGCAUGCCUGUUCGAGCGUCAUUUCAACCCUCAAGCCCUGCUUGGUGUUGGGGCCCUACGGCUGCCGUAGGCCCCGAAAGGAAGUGGCGGGCUCGCUACAACUCCGAGCGUAGUAACUCAUUAUCUCGCUUAGGGCGUUGGGCGGCGCUCCAGCCGUUAAAGAACCAUCUUUAACUCAAGGUUGACCUCGGAUCAGGUAGGAAUACCCGCUGAACUUAAGCAUAUCAAUAAGCGGAGGA
Molecule: unclassified non-coding RNA, 338 nt
Filed under: soil metagenome
Description: partial contains 5.8S ribosomal RNA, internal transcribed spacer 2, and large subunit ribosomal RNA
Rfam family: 5.8S ribosomal RNA (bases 1-120)
Source: RNAcentral